This 70-nucleotide transfer RNA is filed under the name Dipodomys ordii (Ord's kangaroo rat). It matches the Rfam family "tRNA". Rfam says of the family: Transfer RNA (tRNA) molecules are approximately 80 nucleotides in length. Lineage: Eukaryota; Metazoa; Chordata; Mammalia; Rodentia; Heteromyidae. The record is from Rfam by way of RNAcentral.
GGCGCUGUGGCUCAAGUGGUAGAGUGCUUGUCUUGCAUGCAUGAGGCCCUGGUUCGAUUCCUCAGCACCA